Molecule: ribosomal RNA, 484 nt
Filed under: uncultured bacterium
Lineage: Bacteria
Description: partial 16S ribosomal RNA
Rfam family: Bacterial small subunit ribosomal RNA
Source: RNAcentral
AUUGAACGCUGGCGGCAGGCCUAACACAUGCAAGUCGAGCGGAUGAAGGGAGCUUGCUCCUGGAUUCAGCGGCGGACGGGUGAGUAAUGCCUAGGAAUCUGCCUGGUAGUGGGGGAUAACGUCCGGAAACGGGCGCUAAUACCUCAUACGUCCUGAGGGAGAAAGUGGGGGAUCUUCGGACCUCACGCUAUCAGAUGAGCCUAGGUCGGAUUAGCUAGUUGGUGGGGUAAAGGCCUACCAAGGCGACGAUCCGUAACUGGUCUGAGAGGAUGAUCAGUCACACUGGAACUGAGACACGGUCCAGACUCCUACGGGAGGCAGCAGUGGGGAAUAUUGGACAAUGGGCGAAAGCCUGAUCCAGCCAUGCCGCGUGUGUGAAGAAGGUCUUCGGAUUGUAAAGAACUUUAAGUUGGGAGGAAGGGCAGUAAGUUAAUAACUUGCUGUUUUGACGUUACCAACAGAAUAAGCACCGGCUAACUUCGUG